UAAGCGGAGGAAAAGAAACUAACAAGGAUUCCCCCAGUAGCGGCGAGCGAACAGGGAUCAGUCCAGCACCGAACCCCGCGGGCUCCCGCCCGCCGUGGCGUGUGGUGUUUGGGAGGGCCCGCCAUCCCGGCGCUUCGCGGCGAGUCCAAGUCCAACUUGAAUGAGGCCACGGCCCGCAGAGGGUGCCAGGCCCGUAGAGACCGCCGCUGGUGCCGGGAGGACCUCUCCCUCGAGUCGGGUUGCUUGAGAGUGCAGCUCUAAGUGGGUGGUAAACUCCAUCUGAGACUAAAUAUGACCACGAGACCGAUAGCGAACAAGUACCGUGAGGGAAAGUUGAAAAGAACUUUGAAGAGAGAGUUCAAAAGUACGUGAAACCGUUCUGGGGUAAACGCGAGAAGUCCGAAAGGUCGAACGGGGAGAUUCACGUCCAUCCGGCCGCUGGCCUCCGCUCCCGGCAGAUGGGGCCGGCCGCCCGCUCGGAGCAAUCCGCGGCGGGGUCGUGUCCGGUUGUCUUUCCACUCGCCGAGGGGCGGAGCCGUUCCAGUGUGCGGUGGGCCGCACUUCUCCUCUAGUAGGACGUCGCGACCCGCUGGGUACCGGCCUAAGGCCCGGGUGCCAGCCUGCCCGGCCGCUGGCUUCGGUCAGCGUUCGUCGGGCAGAGCCCCGGUGCAUCCCCGGCCGGCUGCUCGGCGGUACAUACAACGAGGAGUCGAUUCGCCAAAAUUUGUUUUGGGCGCCCUGGGCCCCCGGCAAGCGCGCGCGGUUCUUCCCGGAUGACGGUCCUACUGGGCCCGGCUCCGGACCCGCGCCGCUGUUGGCUCGGGUGUGUCCUCGGGCGGAAUGAUCGCUCCGGUCAGCGGCGCUUCAGCUUUGGACAGUUUCGCGACCCGUCUUGAAACACGGACCAAGGAGUCUAACAUGUGCGCGAGUCAUUGGGCUCUGACGAAACCUAAAGGCGCAAUGAAAGUGAAGGUCUCGCCUUGCGCGGACCGAGGGGAGAUGGGGCCCAACCGGUCGCGCUCCGGCGCGCCGGCGGCCUCCGCAUCCCCGGGGCGUCUCGUCCUCAUCGCGAGGUGAGGUGCACCCAGAGCGUACACGUUGGGACCCGAAAGAUGGUGAACUAUGCCUGGCCAGGAUGAAGUCAGGGGAAACCCUGAUGGAGGUCCGUAGCGAUUCUGACGUGCAAAUCGAUCGUCGGAGCUGGGUAUAGGGGCGAAAGACUAAUCGAACCAUCUAGUAGCUGGUUCCCUCCGAAGUUUCCCUCAGGAUAGCUGGUGCUCAGACGAGUCUCAUCCGGUAAAGCGAAUGAUUAGAGGCCUUGGGGCCGAAACGACCUCAACCUAUUCUCAAACUUUAAAUGGGUGAGACCUCCGGCUUGCUUAAUGCGCUGAAGCCGCGAGCUUUGAAACUCGGAUCGGAGUGCCAAGUGGGCCACUUUUGGUAAGCAGAACUGGCGCUGUGGGAUGAACCAAACGCCGAGUUAAGGCGCCCGACUCGACGCUAAUGGGAAACCAUGAAAGGCGUUGGUUGCUUAAAACAUCAGGACGGUGGCCAUGGAAGUCGGAAUCCGCUAAGGAGUGUGUAACAACUCACCUGCCGAAGCAACUAGCCCUGAAAAUGGAUGGCGCUGAAGCGUCGGGCCUAUACUCGGCCGUCAGUCCGGCAGUCACGGCCGGUCCUCUCGAGGCCGGCCGCGAAGCCCUGACGAGUAGGAGGGUCGCGGCGGUGGGCGCAGAAGGGUCUGGGCGCGAGCCUGCCUGGAGCCGCCGUCGGUGCAGAUCUUGGUGGUAGUAGCAAAUACUCCAGCGAGGCCCUGGAGGACUGACGCGGAGAAGGGUUUCGUGUGAACAGCCGUUGCACACGAGUCAGUCGAUCCUAAGCCCUAGGAGAAAUCCGAUGUCGAUGGGGGCCACACAAAAGUUGGCCGGCCCCCGUUGGGCGAAAGGGAAUCCGGUUCCUAUUCCGGAACCCGGCAGCGGAACCGAUACAAGUCGGGCCCCUCAUCUGAGAAGCUCGUCGGGGCAACCCAAAAGGACCCGGAGACGCCGUCGGGAGAUCGGGGAAGAGUUUUCUUUUCUGCAUGAGCGUUCGAGUUCCAUGGAAUCCUCUAGCAGGGAGAUAUGGUUUGGAACGCGAAGAGCACCGCAGUUGCGGCGGUGUCCCGAUCUUCCCCUCGGACCUUGAAAAUCCGGGAGAGGGCCACGUGGAGGUGUCGCGCCGGUUCGUACCCAUAUCCGCAGCAGGUCUCCAAGGUGAAGAGCCUCUAGUCGAUAGACUAAUGUAG
RNAcentral lists this ribosomal RNA (2284 nucleotides) under Xenerianthus affinis. Its description in RNAcentral is "eukaryotic LSU rRNA". It matches the Rfam family "Eukaryotic large subunit ribosomal RNA", at positions 47 to 1903 of the family's 3401-position model. Lineage: Eukaryota; Metazoa; Arthropoda; Insecta; Orthoptera; Chorotypidae. The record is from RNAcentral.